This 253-nucleotide ribosomal RNA is filed under the name uncultured bacterium. RNAcentral describes it as "partial 16S ribosomal RNA". It matches the Rfam family "Bacterial small subunit ribosomal RNA", at positions 524 to 776 of the family's 1533-position model. The record is from RNAcentral.
GACGAACUGUCCAAACGUUGUUCGGAAUCACUGGGCUUAAAGGGCGCGUAGGCGGUCGAUCAAGUCAGGGGUGAAAUCCUGCAGCUUAACUGUAGAAGUGCCUUUGAUACUGGUCGUCUCGAGGGAGGUAGGGGUGUGUGGAACUUCCAGUGGAGCGGUGAAAUGCGUUGAUAUCUACAGGAACUCCGGUGGCGAAAGCGGCGUGCUGGACCUUUUCUGACGCUGAGGCGCGAAAGCUAGGGGAGCAAACGGG